AAACCUGGGGAAAACCCCUUAAAAUUGGUGAUUACAUUAAAAAUGUAUAUAUUUUGAUUAUAAUCGAUAAUCAAUCACCAAAAGUCCUCCAAUAAUCGAUAAUGGAUUUGGUUUCCGAUUCCCAACACUAGUAACAACUAGUACAAGCU
Haliotis rubra (blacklip abalone) is the source of this 149-nucleotide long non-coding RNA. RefSeq lists it as uncharacterized. Lineage: Eukaryota; Metazoa; Mollusca; Gastropoda; Lepetellida; Haliotidae. The record is from RefSeq and is a predicted model, not a curated record. The transcript is spliced from 3 exons.